GGGGAGGGGGGUGGCUACACUGCAGUCGAACGGCAGCACAGAGGAGCUUGCUCCUUGGGUGGCCAGUGGCGGACGGGUGAGGAAUACAUCGGAAUCUACUUUUUCGUGGGGGAUAACGUAGGGAAACUUACGCUAAUACCGCAUACGACCUACGGGUGAAAGCCGGGGAUCUUCGGACCUUGCGCGAUUGAAUGAGCCGAUGUCGGAUUAUCUAGUUGGCGGGGUAAAGGCCCCCCAAGGCAACAAUCCCUACUUGGCCUGACAGGGUGAUCAGCCCCCCUGGAACUGAGACACGGUCCCAACUCCUCCGGGAGGAAGCAAUGGGGAAUAUUGGACAAUGGGCCCAAGCAUGAUCCCGCCCUCCCCCGGGGGGGAAAAAAGCGUCCCAGGGUUAAACCCCUUUUGUUGGGGAAAAAACCCACGGGCCAAUAACUGCUUGGGGUAACUGGCCCCCCGAAACAAACACCCGCUAAAUUCCCGCCUGCCAACACGCGAGGACAAACGGGGGGGCCGUUGCUCGCAAUCCUUUUCCGGAAUACUUGCCCGCGAGGCGCUCUCAUGCCGCUUCUUAAGCCCGAUGCUCAACCCCGCGGCUGAACUGUGAACGCCACUACAAACAUGCGGGAAAGAGGAAUCAGAAACCCCGUGGUAUUCCUCCCAUAUCCCCGAGAAAUAGCGGGGAACAGCCAUGGAACAAGGCUCGUUUCGUGGUGCCUCCACUGGCCUGUGAGGGCACCCAACGCUGAUGGCGCCCUACGCGGAAUAAACACCACUGGUUAUUCCUGUGCCCCCGAGCACCUAAACCCAGGAAGUCUGUGUUGCC
This 823-nucleotide ribosomal RNA is filed under the name Stenotrophomonas sp. Ver8. RNAcentral describes it as "partial 16S ribosomal RNA". The stretch from base 5 to 514 matches the Rfam family "Bacterial small subunit ribosomal RNA", at positions 37 to 537 of the family's 1533-position model. The record is from RNAcentral. Lineage: Bacteria; Pseudomonadati; Pseudomonadota; Gammaproteobacteria; Lysobacterales; Lysobacteraceae.